Molecule: ribosomal RNA, 253 nt
Filed under: uncultured bacterium
Lineage: Bacteria
Description: partial 16S ribosomal RNA
Rfam family: Bacterial small subunit ribosomal RNA
Source: RNAcentral
UACGUAGGGUGCGAGCGUUAAUCGGAAUUACUGGGCGUAAAGCGUGCGCAGGCGGUUCGUUGUGUCGGUGGUGAAAUCCCCGGGCUUAACCUGGGAAUGGCCAUGGAAACUGGCGAACUGGAGUGUGGCAGAGGGGGGUGGAAUUCCGCGUGUAGCAGUGAAAUGCGUAGAGAUGCGGAGGAACACCGAUGGCGAAGGCAGCCCCCUGGGUCAAUACUGACGCUCAUGCACGAAAGCGUGGGGAGCAAACAGG